AGGACGAACGCUGGCGGCGUGCCUAAUACAUGCAAGUCGAACGGUCUUUCUAUGGAAGCUUGCUUCCACUGAGAAGAUAGUGGCGAACGGGUGAGUAACACGUGGGUAACCUGCCCAUAAGAGGGGGAUAACAUCCGGAAACGGGUGCUAAUACCGCAUAGUUUUCUUGAUCGCAUGAUUGAGAAAGGAAAGACGGCCUUUGUGCUGUCGCUUAUGGAUGGACCCGCGGCGUAUUAGUUAGUUGGUGAGGUAACGGCUCACCAAGACGAUGAUACGUAGCCGACCUGAGAGGGUGAUCGGCCACAUUGGGACUGAGACACGGCCCAAACUCCUACGGGAGGCAGCAGUAGGGAAUCUUCCGCAAUGGACGAAAGUCUGACGGAGCAACGCCGCGUGAGUGAAGAAAAGGUUUUUCGGAUCGUAAAACUCUGUUGUCAGAGAAGAACAAGUUGGAGAGUAACUGCUCCAGCCUUGACGGUAUCUGACCAGAAAGCCACGGCUAACUACGUGCCAGCAGCCGC
Molecule: ribosomal RNA, 521 nt
Filed under: uncultured bacterium
Lineage: Bacteria
Description: bacterial SSU rRNA
Rfam family: Bacterial small subunit ribosomal RNA
Source: RNAcentral